RNAcentral lists this ribosomal RNA (1341 nucleotides) under uncultured bacterium. RNAcentral's name for it is "bacterial SSU rRNA". It matches the Rfam family "Bacterial small subunit ribosomal RNA", at positions 28 to 1381 of the family's 1533-position model. The record is from RNAcentral.
GACGAACGCUGGCGGCGUGCUUAACACAUGCAAGUCGAACGAUGAAGCUCUAGCUUGCUGGGGUGGAUUAGUGGCGAACGGGUGAGUAACACGUGAGUAACCUGCCCUUUACUUCGGGAUAAGCUUGGGAAACUGGGUCUAAUACCGGAUAUUCUGCGUGAUCGGAUGGUUGUGUAGGAAAGAUUUUUUGGUAAGGGAUGGGCUCGCGGCCUAUCAGUUUGUUGGUGGGGUGAUGGCCUACCAAGACGACGACGGGUAGCCGGCCUGAGAGGGCGACCGGCCACACUGGGACUGAGACACGGCCCAGACUCCUACGGGAGGCAGCAGUGGGGAAUAUUGCACAAUGGGGGAAACCCUGAUGCAGCGACGCCGCGUGGGGGAUGACGGCCUUCGGGUUGUAAACCUCUUUCAGUAGGGAAGAAGCGAAAGUGACGGUACCUGCAGAAGAAGUACCGGCUAACUACGUGCCAGCAGCCGCGGUAAUACGUAGGGUACUAGCGUUGUCGGGAAUUAUUGGGCGUAAAGAGCUCGUAAGUGGUUUGUCGCGUCUGCUGUGGAACGUGCCGCUUAUUUGUGCGCGUGCAGUGGGUACGGGCGGACUAGAGUGCAGUAGGGGAGUCUGGAAUUCCUGGUGUAGCGGUGAAAUGCGCAGAUAUCAGGAGGAACACCGGUGGCGAAGGCGGGACUCUGGGCUGUUACUGACGCUGAGGAGCGAAAGCAUGGGGAGCGAACAGGAUUAGAUACCCUGGUAGUCCAUGCCGUAAACGUUGGGCACUAGGUGUGGGGUCCAUUCCACGGAUUCUGCGCCGUAGCUAACGCAUUAAGUGCCCCGCCUGGGGAGUACGGCCGCAAGGCUAAAACUCAAAGGAAUUGACGGGGGCCCGCACAAGCGGCGGAGCAUGCGGAUUAAUUCGAUGCAACGCGAAGAACCUUACCAAGGCUUGACAUGCACUAGACCAUCGCAGAGAUGUGGUUUUCUUUUUGACUGGUGUACAGGUGGUGCAUGGUUGUCGUCAGCUCGUGUCGUGAGAUGUUGGGUUAAGUCCCGCAACGAGCGCAACCCUCGUUCUAUGUUGCCAGCACGUGAUGGUGGGAACUCAUGGGAGACUGCCGGGGUCAACUCGGAGGAAGGUGGGGAUGACGUCAAAUCAUCAUGCCCUUUAUGUCUUGGGCUUCACGCAUGCUACAAUGGCCGGUACAGAGGGUGGCGAUACCGUGAGGUGGAGCGAAUCUCUUAAAGCCGGUCUCAGUUCGGAUCGUAGUCUGCAACUCGACUACGUGAAGUCGGAGUCGCUAGUAAUCGCAGAUCAGCAAUGCUGCGGUGAAUACGUUCCCGGGCCU